Molecule: long non-coding RNA, 1438 nt
Filed under: Callithrix jacchus (white-tufted-ear marmoset)
Lineage: Eukaryota; Metazoa; Chordata; Mammalia; Primates; Cebidae
Description: lncRNA (ENSCJAG00000086900.1)
Source: RNAcentral
GACCCCAGUGUUUAGUACUCCCCUGUGUCCAUGUGUUCUCAUCACCCGCCUAUGAGUGAGAAUAUGCGGUGUUUCAUUUUCUGUUCUUGUGUCAGUUUGCUGAGGAUGAUGUUCUCCAGAUUCAUCCAUGUCCCUACGAACGACACGAACUCAUCAUUUCUGAUUGCUGCAUAAUAUUCCAUGGUGUAUAUGUGCCACAUUUUUCCAAUCCAGUCUAUUAUCAAUGGGCAUUUGGGUUGAUUCCAGGUCUUUGCUAUUGUAAACAGUGCUGCAAUGAACAUUCGUGUACAUGUGUCUUAUAGUAGAACGAUUUAUAGUCUUUUGGAUAUAUACCCAGUAAUGGGAUUGCUGGGUCAAAUGGAAUUUCUAUUUCUAAGGCCUUGAGGAAUCGCCACACUGUCUUCCACAAUGGUUGAACUAAUUUACACUCCCACCAACAGUGUAGAAGUGUUCCUUUUUCUCCACAUCCUCUCCAGAAUCUGUUGUCUCCAGAUUUUUUAAUAAUCGCCAUUCUAACUGGCGUGAGAUGGUAUCUCAAUGUGGUUUUGAUUUGCAUCUCUCUGAUGACCAGUGACGAUGAGCAUUUUUUCAUAUGAUUGUUGGCCUCAUAUGUCUUCUUUCGUAAAGUGUCUGUUCAUAUCCUUUGCCCACUUUUGAAUGGGCUUGUUUUUUUUUUUCCUGUAAAUCCGUUUGAGUUCUUUGUAAAUUCUGGAUAUCAGCCCUUUGUCAGAUGGGUAAACUGCAAAGAUUUUUUCCCAUUCUGUUGGUUGCCGAUCCACUCUAGUGACUGUUUCUUUUGCCGUGCAGAAGCUGUGGAGUUUCAUUAGGUCCCAUUUGUCUAUUUUGGCUUUUGUUGCCAAUGCUUUUGGUGUUUUGUUCAUGAAGUUCUUGCCUACUCGUAUGUCCUGGAUAGUUUUGCCUAGAUUUCCUUCUAGGGUUUUUAUCGUGCCAAGUCUUAUGUUUAAGUCUUUAAUCCAUCUGGAGUUAAUUUUGGUGUAAGGUGUCAGGAAGGGGUCCAGUUUCUGCUUUCUGCACAUGGCUAGCCAGUUUUCCCAACACCAUUUGUUGAACAGGGAAUCCUUUCCCCCUUGCUUGUUUUUGUCAGGUUUAUCAAAGAUUGUAUAUUUGUAGAUAUGUUGUGUUGCCUCCGGUGCCUCUGUUUUAUUCCAUUGGUCUAUAUCUCUGUUUUGAUACCAGUACCAUGCUGUUUUGAUUACUGUAGCCUUGUAGUAUAGUUUGAAAUCCGGUAGUGUGAAGCCCCCCGCUGUGUUCUUUUUGCUUAGAAUUGACUUGGCUAUGCAGGCUCUCUUUUGGUUCCAUAUGAAGUUCAUGGUGGUUUUCUCCAGUUCUGUGAAGAAAGUCAAUGGUAGCUUGAUGGGGAUAGCGUUGAUUCUGUAAAUUACUUUGGGCAGUAUAGCCAUUUUCACGAUAUUAAUUC